This 497-nucleotide ribosomal RNA is filed under the name uncultured bacterium. Its description in RNAcentral is "partial 16S ribosomal RNA". It matches the Rfam family "Bacterial small subunit ribosomal RNA", at positions 28 to 507 of the family's 1533-position model. The record is from RNAcentral.
GAUGAACGCUGGCGGCGUGCCUAAUACAUGCAAGUCGAGCGAACGGACGAGAAGCUUGCUUCUCUGAUGUUAGCGGCGGACGGGUGAGUAACACGUGGAUAACCUACCUAUAAGACUGGGAUAACUUCGGGAAGCCGGAGCUAAUACCGGAUAAUAUUUUGAACCGCAUGGUUCAAAAGUGAAAGACGGUCUUGCUGUCACUUAUAGAUGGGUCCGCGCUGCAUUAGCUAGUUGGUAAGGUAACGGCUUACCAAGGCAACGAUGCAUAGCCGACCUGAGAGGGUGAUCGGCCACACUGGAACUGAGACACGGUCCAGACUCCUACGGGAGGCAGCAGUAGGGAAUCUUCCGCAAUGGGCGAAAGCCUGACGGAGCAACGCCGCGUGAGUGAUGAAGGUCUUCGGAUCGUAAAACUCUGUUAUUAGGGAAGAACAUAUGUGUAAGUAACUGUGCACAUCUUGACGGUACCUAAUCAGAAAGCCACGGCUAACUACGUG